Molecule: transfer RNA, 72 nt
Filed under: Phrynosoma platyrhinos (Desert horned lizard)
Lineage: Eukaryota; Metazoa; Chordata; Lepidosauria; Squamata; Phrynosomatidae
Description: tRNA-OTHER
Source: RNAcentral
GCCAGCAUGGUGUAGUGGUUUGAGCAUUGGACUAGGACUCUAGAGACCAGUGUUCGAAUCCCAACUCAGCCA